UGGGGAAUAUUGCACAAUGGGCGAAAGCCUGAUGCAGCGACGCCGCGUGAGUGAAGAAGUAUUUCGGUAUGUAAAGCUCUAUCAGCAGGGAAGAAAAUGACGGUACCUGACUAAGAAGCCCCGGCUAACUACGUGCCAGCAGCCGCGGUAAUACGUAGGGGGCAAGCGUUAUCCGGAUUUACUGGGUGUAAAGGGAGCGUAGACGGCGAAGCAAGUCUGAAGUGAAAACCCAGGGCUCAACCCUGGGACUGCUUUGGAAACUGUUUUGCUAGAGUGGCUGAGAAGUAAGGGGAAUUCCUAGUGUAGCGGUGAAAUGCGUAGAUAUUAGGAGGAACACCAGUGGCGAAGGCGGCUUACUGGACGAUAACUGACGUUGAGGCUCGAAAGCGUGGGGAGCAAACAGG
This 404-nucleotide ribosomal RNA is filed under the name Fusobacteriota bacterium. RNAcentral describes it as "Fusobacteria bacterium partial 16S ribosomal RNA". It matches the Rfam family "Bacterial small subunit ribosomal RNA", at positions 355 to 776 of the family's 1533-position model. Lineage: Bacteria; Fusobacteriati; Fusobacteriota. The record is from RNAcentral.